RNAcentral lists this transfer RNA (76 nucleotides) under Achromatium sp. WMS1. RNAcentral's name for it is "tRNA-Ala". It matches the Rfam family "tRNA". From Rfam's summary of the family: Transfer RNA (tRNA) molecules are approximately 80 nucleotides in length. Their secondary structure includes four short double-helical elements and three loops (D, anti-codon, and T loops). Further hydrogen bonds mediate the characteristic L-shaped molecular structure. tRNAs have two regions of fundamental functional importance: the anti-codon, which is responsible for specific mRNA codon recognition, and the 3' end, to which the tRNAs corresponding amino acid is attached (by aminoacyl-tRNA synthetases). tRNAs cope with the degeneracy of the genetic code in two manners: having more than one tRNA (with a specific anti-codon) for a particular amino acid; and 'wobble' base-pairing, i.e. permitting non-standard base-pairing at the 3rd anti-codon position. The record is from RNAcentral. Lineage: Bacteria; Pseudomonadati; Pseudomonadota; Gammaproteobacteria; Thiotrichales; Thiotrichaceae.
GGGGUCAUAGCUCAGACGGGAGAGCAUCUGCUUUGCAAGCAGGAGGUCGGGAGUUCGAUUCUCCCUGACUCCACCA